UGAAGAAAUGAAAGUGCGCAAAAUUAAGUAUUUUAAUUAAAAGUAAAGCGAGCUUUUUAGUGAAAUGCAGAUUGAAGUUUUCAUUGACAACAAGAACAAAAAUUGUUAACACAUAUGGUAACUUCGCAGGCCUUGACGCUGACAUGUUGGAAGUUCUGAUUGACUCCAUCUACACAUUCCUGGAACAUUGUGAAGUCGAAAAUAUCUUAAUGUUGACAAACGAGAGCAGCAUUCCUUUUACUAGAAUUGGAUGUCUUUGGCGAGGGAACACAAUCGUGAAAGUGAUUUGGACAAGCUUUUCACACAUGCGCUCACAAGGUUUCAUUACACUUUGGGUUGAUGCACGCGUAAAACCCACUUUCCGGCUUUGACAGAUAAGAACCUCCGUUUGACGUAUCGUCAUCCCAUGCCCGGAACCACUAACUCUUCACACUCGCUUAUAUGCCGCACGCUGGUUGCCGACAAAUAUUACACGCAAUCAAUGCGCAUAUGAAUAAGCUGCGCUUCGUUAUUCAUUACAAAUG
Molecule: long non-coding RNA, 524 nt
Organism: Bactrocera tryoni
Lineage: Eukaryota; Metazoa; Arthropoda; Insecta; Diptera; Tephritidae
Exons: 3
Source: RefSeq, a predicted model, not a curated record